RNAcentral lists this ribosomal RNA (539 nucleotides) under uncultured bacterium. RNAcentral's name for it is "bacterial SSU rRNA". It matches the Rfam family "Bacterial small subunit ribosomal RNA", at positions 8 to 526 of the family's 1533-position model. The record is from RNAcentral.
AGAGUUUGAUCAUGGCUCAGAAUCAACGCUGGCGGCGUGCCUCAGGCAUGCAAGUCGAACGCGAAAGUUCCCUUCGGGGAGCGAGUAGAGUGGCGCACGGGUGAGUAACACGUAGGUAAUCUACCUUUGGAUGGGGAAUAACAACCGGAAACGGUUGCUAAUACCGCAUAAUGCAGCGGCACCUAAUGGUGACAGUUGUUAAAGCGGGGGAUCGCAAGACCUCGCGUCUGAAGAGGAGCCUGCGGCAGAUUAGCUAGUUGGUAAGGUAAUGGCUUACCAAGGCGAUGAUCUGUAGCCGGCCUGAGAGGGCGGUCGGCCACACUGACACUGACAUACGGGUCAGACUCCUACGGGAGGCAGCAGUCGGGAAUUUUGGGCAAUGGGCGAAAGCCUGACCCAGCAACGCCGCGUGAAGGAUGAAAUCCUUCGGGAUGUAAACUUCGCAAGAACGGGAAGAAUAAGUGAGAGCUAACAUCUCUUACGAUGACGGUACUGUUUGUAAGCUCCGGCUAACUCCGUGCCAGCAGCCGCGGUAAUUC